AUUGAACGCUGGCGGCAUGCCUAACACAUGCAAGUCGAACGGCAGCACGGCAGUAGCAAUACUGUGGGUGGCGAGUGGCGGACGGGUGAGGAAUACGUCGGAAUCUGCCCAGUCGUGGGGGAUAACUAGCCGAAAGGUUAGCUAAUACCGCAUACGACCGAGAGGUGAAAGCGGGGGACCGCAAGGCCUCGCGCGAUUGGAUGAGCCGACGUCGGAUUAGCUAGUUGGUGGGGUAAAGGCCCACCAAGGCGACGAUCCGUAGCUGGUCUGAGAGGAUGAUCAGCCACACUGGAACUGAGACACGGUCCAGACUCCUACGGGAGGCAGCAGUGGGGAAUAUUGGACAAUGGGCGCAAGCCUGAUCCAGCAAUGCCGCGUGUGUGAAGAAGGCCUCGGUUG
RNAcentral lists this ribosomal RNA (399 nucleotides) under uncultured bacterium. RNAcentral describes it as "bacterial SSU rRNA". It matches the Rfam family "Bacterial small subunit ribosomal RNA", at positions 29 to 425 of the family's 1533-position model. The record is from RNAcentral.